Molecule: ribosomal RNA, 465 nt
Filed under: uncultured bacterium
Lineage: Bacteria
Description: partial 16S ribosomal RNA
Rfam family: Bacterial small subunit ribosomal RNA
Source: RNAcentral
CCUACGGGAGGCAGCAGUAGGGAAUCUUCCACAAUGGACGAAAGUCUGAUGGAGCAACGCCGCGUGAGUGAAGGAAGGUUUCGGCUCGUAAAGGUCUGGUGGUCGGGGAGGAAGAUAGAGGUAGUAACUGUCUUUGAUUUGACGGUACUUACUUGGAAAGUCCCGGCUAACUACGUGCCAGCAGCCGCGGUAAUACGUGGGUGGCAAGCGUUGUCCGGAUUGAUUGGGCGUAAAGGGAGUGAAGGCGGUUCAAUAAGUCGGAUGUGAAAGCCUUCGGCUCAACCGGAGAAUGGCAUCAGAAACUGUGGAACUUGAGUGCAGAAGAGGAGAGUGGAACUCCAUGUGUAGCGGUGGAAUGCGUAGAUAUAUGGAAGAACACCAGUGGCGAAGGCGGCUCUCUGGGCUGCAACUGACGCUGAGGCUCGAAAGCAUGGGUAGCGAACAGGAUUAGAUACCCUGGUAGUC